Neopelma chrysocephalum (saffron-crested tyrant-manakin) is the source of this 1065-nucleotide RNA transcript. It is a transcript of the gene named family with sequence similarity 228 member B, with no coding region annotated. The record is from RefSeq and is a predicted model, not a curated record. Lineage: Eukaryota; Metazoa; Chordata; Aves; Passeriformes; Pipridae. The transcript has 9 exons.
CCGUGCCCGCAUCCCACCUCCACCCGGGAACAGGGUCCGGGUGCUGACCCUGCGGCCGCGCUGCCCUCUCCCUGUCCCCGAGGCUGGUGCCUCCUCGUCCCGAGAGGCUGCGGGUAAUGGGAGAGAGACUGUUUUCCUCGGCGGAAGGACACGGAGGGGCUCUACAACAACCGUGAGGGGAUUUACAGCAUCCCUACCCCAGAAGAACAAAACUACUUGGAGGGAAAGGAAAUCUGUCAAAGAUACUGUGACCAAGGAGCCCAUGGCACUUGUGCAGAGAAGGCAGGGAAUCACUACAGAGGAAGGACCUGCUGGGCUGCCACACUGCCAAGGCCAAUUCUUUUAACUGGAUGUUGCAAAAAAUAAUCGAAGAACAGAAUUUAUUUUCGUAAUUGAAAGAUCUGGCUGAAGACUUGAGAUUAUUCCAACCAUGCACAGUAUGAACAGCUCAGAGACUCCCUGGCUAAAAAUAAUGACACAUCUGAGACCUGUGAAAGAACCUGAUCAGCCAUGGCCUUGGCAGGUAACACCUGACCAAAGCCGAGACAUCAUUGCUUCUGUUCAGUGCAUCUUGGACAGAGAAAAUUGUUUUGUGAGGGAGGUGGACAGAUACAUAAGGCACAAUGAUUUCCUAAAUCUGAGAAAGAAGGAGAUCGUGUACAAAGAAUGGCUUAAGGAUGUUUUAGAGCCAGUGCUGCAGAAAAUUGAGGACGAAAUGGGCAGCCAGUCAAUUGAAGAAAUGCAGAAAAGGAAACAAGAACAAUUGUCUCAGUAUUUAAACUACUGUAAAAAGAAGGGCUAUGUGUUUUUGGACCACUUUGACCCAUCAGAGUAUGAUCCGUUCUCCCAGAAGAUGUGCACAGACUGCUGGAAGGUGUGAGAAUGAAAGUCAUCAAUCACCACAAUGACAGCGAGAGCCAAUGAUGUCACCUGUCCCCCAGCUGACCAGAGCAGCAAGCACAGCCAUCAGAAGGUACCCUUUAUAAAACAGGUUACAUCUGCUGCCAAAGCAAGUGAUAACAGGCCAGGUCUUCUGGCAAACUGCAAUAAACUUACUGUCUUGAA